CCCUGCGCGGUGCGGGCACCCACUCGGUGCGGGUGCCCCCCGCGAUGAUCGGAUGCAUCGAGUACGACGGUUCGAAACCGAGCGCAGAGC
Molecule: transfer RNA, 90 nt
Filed under: Saccharomonospora xinjiangensis
Lineage: Bacteria; Bacillati; Actinomycetota; Actinomycetes; Pseudonocardiales; Pseudonocardiaceae
Description: tRNA-Gly
Source: RNAcentral